This 458-nucleotide ribosomal RNA is filed under the name uncultured bacterium. Its description in RNAcentral is "partial 16S ribosomal RNA". It matches the Rfam family "Bacterial small subunit ribosomal RNA", at positions 28 to 507 of the family's 1533-position model. The record is from RNAcentral.
GACGAACGCUGGCGGCGUGCUUCAUACAUGCAAGUCGAACGAGAAGCUGACUUCGGUCUGUGGAAAGUGGCGGACGGGUGAGUAAGAUGUAGGAAAUCUGCCUUUAGGAGGGGGACAACAGAGGGAAACUUCUGCUAAUACCCCAUAUGAGCGUAGCUGAAAUGCUAUUCUUGAAAACUCCGGUGCCUAGAGAUGAGCCUGCAUCUGAUUAGCUAGUUGGUAGUGUAAUGGACUACCAAGGCGACGAUCAGUAGCUGGCUUGAGGGGAUGAUCAGCCACAAUGGGACUGAGACACGGCCCAUACUCCUACGGGAGGCGGCGGUAGGGUAUUUUGCGCAAUGGGCGAAGGCCUGACGCAGCAACGCCGCGUGAACGAUUAAGCCCUUCGGGGUGUAGAGUUCUGUCAGUGGGGACGAAACUUGACGGUACCCACAGAGGAAGCACCGGCUAACUCCGUG